Molecule: ribosomal RNA, 253 nt
Filed under: uncultured bacterium
Lineage: Bacteria
Description: partial 16S ribosomal RNA
Rfam family: Bacterial small subunit ribosomal RNA
Source: RNAcentral
UACGUAGGGUGCGAGCGUUAUUCGGAAUUACUGGGCGUAAAGCGUGCGCAGGCGGUUCGUCAAGUCUGAUGUGAAAUCCCCGGGCUCAACCCGGGAACUGCCUUCAUGACUGCAAAGCUUGAGGAUGCGAGAGGUUAGCGGAAUUCCGAGUGUAGAGGUGAAAUUCGUAGAUAUUCGGAAGAACACCAGUGGCGAAGGCGGCUAACGGGCGCAUUUAUGACGCUGAGGUGCGAAAGCGUGGGGAGCAAACAGG